UAGGGAAUCUUCGGCAAUGGACGAAAGUCUGACCGAGCAACGCCGCGUGAGUGAAGAAGGUUUUCGGAUCGUAAAACUCUGUUGUUAGAGAAGAACAAGGACGUUAGUAACUGAACGUCCCCUGACGGUAUCUAACCAGAAAGCCACGGCUAACUACGUGCCAGCAGCCGCGGUAAUACGUAGGUGGCAAGCGUUGUCCGGAUUUAUUGGGCGUAAAGCGAGCGCAGGCGGUUUCUUAAGUCUGAUGUGAAAGCCCCCGGCUCAACCGGGGAGGGUCAUUGGAAACUGGGAGACUUGAGUGCAGAAGAAGAGAGUGGAAUUCCAUGUGUAGCGGUGAAAUGCGUAGAUAUAUGGAGGAACGCCAGUGGCGAAGGCGGCUCUCUGGUCUGUAACUGACGCUGAGGCUCGAAAGCGUGGGGAGCAAACAGG
Molecule: ribosomal RNA, 429 nt
Filed under: Gemmatimonadota bacterium
Lineage: Bacteria; Pseudomonadati; Gemmatimonadota
Description: Gemmatimonadetes bacterium partial 16S ribosomal RNA
Rfam family: Bacterial small subunit ribosomal RNA
Source: RNAcentral